AUACAUGCAAGUCGAGCGAACCGACGGGAGCUUGCUCCCUUAGGUUAGCGGCGGACGGGUGAGUAACACGUGGGUAACCUGCCUGUAAGACUGGGAUAACUCCGGGAAACCGGGGCUAAUACCGGAUGCUUGAUUGAACCGCAUGGUUCAAUUAUAAAAGGUGGCUUUUAGCUACCACUUACAGAUGGACCCGCGGCGCAUUAGCUAGUUGGUGAGGUAACGGCUCACCAAGGCGACGAUGCGUAGCCGACCUGAGAGGGUGAUCGGCCACACUGGGACUGAGACACGGCCCAGACUCCUACGGGAGGCAGCAGUAGGGAAUCUUCCGCAAUGGACGAAAGUCUGACGGAGCAACGCCGCGUGAGUGAUGAAGGUUUUCGGAUCGUAAAACUCUGUUGUUAGGGAAGAACAAGUACCGUUCGAACAGGGCGGUGCCUUGACGGUACCUAACCAGAAAGCCACGGCUAACUACGUGCCAGCAGCCGCGGUAAUACGUAGGUGGCAAGCGUUGUCCGGAAUUAUUGGGCGUAAAGCGCGCGCAGGCGGUUUCUUAAGUCUGAUGUGAAAGCCCCCGGCUCAACCGGGGAGGGUCAUUGGAAACUGGGGAACUUGAGUGCAGAAGAGGAGAGUGGAAUUCCACGUGUAGCGGUGAAAUGCGUAGAGAUGUGGAGGAACACCAGUGGCGAAGGCGACUCUCUGGUCUGUAACUGACGCUGAGGCGCGAAAGCGUGGGGAGCGAACAGGAUUAGAUACCCUGGUAGUCCACGCCGUAAACGAUGAGUGCUAAGUGUUAGAGGGUUUCCGCCCUUUAGUGCUGCAGCAAACGCAUUAAGCACUCCGCCUGGGGAGUACGGUCGCAAGACUGAAACUCAAAGGAAUUGACGGGGGCCCGCACAAGCGGUGGAGCAUGUGGUUUAAUUUCGAAGCAACGCGAAGAACCUUACCAAGUCUUGACAUCCUCUGACACCCCUAGAGAUAGGGCUUCCCCUUCGGGGGCAGAGUGACAGUGGUUGCAUGGUUGUUCGUCAGCUUCGUGUCGUGAGAUGUUGGGUUAAGU
This 1057-nucleotide ribosomal RNA is filed under the name Bacillus sonorensis. RNAcentral's name for it is "bacterial SSU rRNA". It matches the Rfam family "Bacterial small subunit ribosomal RNA", at positions 51 to 1085 of the family's 1533-position model. Lineage: Bacteria; Bacillati; Bacillota; Bacilli; Caryophanales; Bacillaceae. The record is from RNAcentral.